GAUGAACGCUGGCGGCGUGCCUAAUACAUGCAAGUCGAGCGAACAGACGAGGAGCUUGCUCCUCUGACGUUAGCGGCGGACGGGUGAGUAACACGUGGAUAACCUACCUAUAAGACUGGGAUAACUUCGGGAAACCGGAGCUAAUACCGGAUAAUAUAUUGAACCGCAUGGUUCAAUAGUGAAAGACGGUUUUGCUGUCACUUAUAGAUGGAUCCGCGCCGCAUUAGCUAGUUGGUAAGGUAACGGCUUACCAAGGCGACGAUGCGUAGCCGACCUGAGAGGGUGAUCAGCCACACUGGAACUGAGACCCGGUCCAGACUCCUACGGGAGGCAGCAGUCGGGAAUCUUCCGCAAUGAACGAAAGCCUGACGGAGCAACGCCGCGUGAAUGAUGAAGAUCUUCAGAUCGUAAAACUCUGUUAUUAGGGAAAAACAAAUGUGUAAGUAACUAUGCACGUAUUGACGGUACCGAAUCAGAAAGCCACGGCUAACUACGUG
Molecule: ribosomal RNA, 497 nt
Filed under: uncultured bacterium
Lineage: Bacteria
Description: partial 16S ribosomal RNA
Rfam family: Bacterial small subunit ribosomal RNA
Source: RNAcentral